Molecule: ribosomal RNA, 508 nt
Filed under: Colletotrichum gloeosporioides
Lineage: Eukaryota; Fungi; Ascomycota; Sordariomycetes; Glomerellales; Glomerellaceae
Description: eukaryotic LSU rRNA
Rfam family: 5.8S ribosomal RNA (bases 187-340)
Source: RNAcentral
CGGAGGGAUCAUUACUGAGUUUACGCUCUACAACCCUUUGUGAACAUACCUAUAACUGUUGCUUCGGCGGGUAGGGUCUCCGCGACCCUCCCGGCCUCCCGCCUCCGGGCGGGUCGGCGCCCGCCGGAGGAUAACCAAACUCUGAUUUAACGACGUUUCUUCUGAGUGGUACAAGCAAAUAAUCAAAACUUUUAACAACGGAUCUCUUGGUUCUGGCAUCGAUGAAGAACGCAGCGAAAUGCGAUAAGUAAUGUGAAUUGCAGAAUUCAGUGAAUCAUCSAAUCUUUGAACGCACAUUGCGCCCGCCAGCAUUCUGGCGGGCAUGCCUGUUCGAGCGUCAUUUCAACCCUCAAGCUCUGCUUGGUGUUGGGGCCCUACAGCUGAUGUAGGCCCUCAAAGGUAGUGGCGGACCCUCUCGGAGCCUCCUUUGCGUAGUAACUUUACGUCUCGCACUGGGAUCCGGAGGGACUCUUGCCGUAAAACCCCCAAUUUUCCAAAGGUUGACCUC